This 321-nucleotide long non-coding RNA is filed under the name Chinchilla lanigera (long-tailed chinchilla). Its description in RNAcentral is "lncRNA (ENSCLAG00000022981.1)". The record is from RNAcentral. Lineage: Eukaryota; Metazoa; Chordata; Mammalia; Rodentia; Chinchillidae.
UUUACCUGUUGUACGUAGAAGGAAACCAAAUUAGAGAGAGAUCAAGCAGUUUGCUCAAGCUUACACAGCUAGUAGGGGACACCAGUGGGGCUUGUAACCCCUCAGAUUUCAGAGAAUGGGCUUUUUGCUGCAAUAUUGCUACGCUUUUCUAAAGACUUUGUGAAACAUCAUUCAAGCAUGAGCUGAGUCAUGAAUGAUGGUCAAUGGAGAUAUUUUAAAGAUGGAGAAGUUAAAAUUUGCAGCAUGCACUGGUUAAGCAAUGGCCUGAUGUCUAGAUGGGAUGUAGAGCAGCGAGAAUGACACUUUGGGGAUUAGAGCCCG